GACGAACGCUGGCGGCGUGCUUAACACAUGCAAGUCGAACGGAAAGGCCCUGCUUUUGUGGGGUGCUCGAGUGGCGAACGGGUGAGUAACACGUGAGUAACCUGCCCUUGACUUUGGGAUAACUUCAGGAAACUGGGGCUAAUACCGGAUAGGAGCUCCUGCUGCAUGGUGGGGGUUGGAAAGUUUCGGCGGUUGGGGAUGGACUCGCGGCUUAUCAGCUUGUUGGUGGGGUAGUGGCUUACCAAGGCUUUGACGGGUAGCCGGCCUGAGAGGGUGACCGGCCACAUUGGGACUGAGAUACGGCCCAGACUCCUACGGGAGGCAGCAGUGGGGAAUAUUGCACAAUGGGCGGAAGCCUGAUGCAGCAACGCCGCGUGCGGGAUGACGGCCUUCGGGUUGUAAACCGCUUUCGCCUGUGACGAAGCGUGAGUGACGGUAAUGGGUAAAGAAGCACCGGCUAACUACGUGCCAGCAGCCGCGGUGAUACGUAGGGUGCGAGCGUUGUCCGGAUUUAUUGGGCGUAAAGGGCUCGUAGGUGGUUGAUCGCGUCGGCAGUGUAAUCUUGGGGCUUAACCCUGAGCGUGCUUUCGAUACGGGUUGACUUGAGGAAGGUAGGGGAGAAUGGAAUUCCUGGUGGAGCGGUGGAAUGCGCAGAUAUCAGGAGGAACACCAGUGGCGAAGGCGGUUCUCUGGGCCUUUCCUGACCCUGAAGAACGAAAGCGUGGGGAGCGAACAGGCUUAGAUACCCUGGUAGUCCACUCUGUAAACGGUGGGUACUAGGUGUGGGGUCCAUUCCACGGGUUCCGUGCCGUAGCUAACGCUUUAAGUACCCCGCCUGGGGAGUACGGCCGCAAGGCUAAAACUCAAAGGAAUUGACGGGGCCCCGCACAAGCGGCGGAGCAUGCGGAUUAAUUCGAUGCAACGCGUAGAACCUUACCUGGGUUUGACAUGGAUCGGGAGUGCUCAGAGAUGGGUGUGCCUCUUUUGGGGUCGGUUCACAGGUGGUGCAUGGCUGUCGUCAGCUCGUGUCGUGAGAUGUUGGGUUAAGUCCCGCAACGAGCGCAACCCUUGUUCACUGUUGCCAGCACGUUAUGGUGGGGACUCAGUGGAGACCGCCGGGGUCAACUCGGAGGAAGGUGGGGAUGACGUCAAGUCAUCAUGCCCCUUAUGUCCAGGGCUUCACGCAUGCUACAAUGGCUGGUACAGAGAGUGGCGAGCCUGUGAGGGUGAGCGAAUCUCGGAAAGCCGGUCUCAGUUCGGAUUGGGGUCUGCAACUCGACCUCAUGAAGUCGGAGUCGCUAGUAAUCGCAGAUCAGCAACGCUGCGGUGAAUACGUUCCCGGGGCU
This 1346-nucleotide ribosomal RNA is filed under the name uncultured bacterium. RNAcentral describes it as "partial 16S ribosomal RNA". It matches the Rfam family "Bacterial small subunit ribosomal RNA", at positions 28 to 1381 of the family's 1533-position model. The record is from RNAcentral.